AAGCAAACAGGCUGUGUUUGCUUCAAUAUAUUGCAUUAAUUGAAUCUCCUGUGGAAGCCAAUAUUUGUCAGAGGAAGUAUACUGCACACACACACACACACACACACACACACACACACACACACACACACACAGUAUAUCCCAGUUACACAGUGUGUGUCCGUGGUCAAGGAGAAGACGGACGUACAAACUUCUCUUUGCUCCACGGAGCUAGACACAGUCACACCUUCUUGUGAGACAUACAACAUCUUUCUGUGGAUUAUGUGCCUUGCUCAAAGGCGGUUUCCCCGUGGAUUAUUCUUCAGGGUUAUUUCUGGUAUUUAAACUAAAAGUCUCCUGGAGCAGCAAACUCUGCAGCUACUCCCUGCAAAGAAGAAUUAAGGAGUUUUCUCCAUGAGAUGCACUGAAGAGAGACAGUGUCUGUGUGUGUGGGAGGGUAACAUGAGGAAUCCAGUGACUGUACUGACAACCCUGUUAUCUGUGGAGUUUGUGCUGUACACAAUGAGUCUCUGUGCGCCUCAGUGGCUGGUUCAGACUGAGGGGGCCAGCGAGGGACUCUUUGCCCUCUGCAGCGCCUACGAAGGCUUCUCCAGCUGCACCACGUUUCCAGCCUGGCUGGGCAGCUACAGUUUGUCCUGGAUGUUCCUGUCUGCUUCCAGUCUGCUGUCUCUGGCUGCUGCGAUCACAGUCCGGCCGGCUCUGACCCGAGGAAGGAAAGCCCUCGCUGCUCUGCUGCUCAACAUCCUCUCUGUGGCUCUCUGUGCCAGCUCUCUGGUCGUCUUCUUGGUGUCCGUCGAGCAGCAGGAGCCCGAGCUGCUGCGCCACCUCGGCUGGACCUUCUACAUCUGCUGCGCCACCCUCUUCUACGCCUCGCUGGUGAGCGUCCUGCUGGGCGUCAUCCACGCUGACGGAGCCAGGGUCGAACCGGCCGUGAGAGGUGCAGCUGUGGAUCUGUGUGUGAUAACAGCCGGAUCAUAAUGUACAACAUGUCAUGUUUGUAUUGUCAAAAGGUUGCAGCUUUAAAUCCACAUGAUGAUGCAUGACCUUUAUAUGGCCUUCAGUAUGUUUCAUGUUUGUCUCUUUGCUCAGGAAUAUCAGGAGACUGUAUGUAGCUCUCUAACUUCUGAAUGUAUGCUGCACCUCCCUCUCUCACUGUUCUCGUGCUGCUGUAAAACUUCAUCUCCUGCUUGGAGUAACAAUAAAGUGUUAUCUUGAAAUACACAUAAAAACAUAAACUGACAUGUUCCUGCUCAUAUCAGGUGUUACAGUCGUCACCAUCUCUGCAUGCUGACAUGGCACUCCUGAUGUCAGAUAGAAAUAAUAAGCAAUAAAGCUCCAUAACAGAAUAAAACAGAUAAAUGAAUAAAAAGCAAGCCCAGCAGUUCUGAGCUUCCUGCACCGCUGCCACACCUCACACCGGCAGAGACAGCCAAGUGUUUCUGAGUCACAUCACACUUUUGAUUUAUGAGGAUCAGUAUGAAGAACUGAGAGAAAAGAAAAACUGCACUUCUAAAUAUUUCAUUCUUACCAACUGCAGAAGAAAGUAAACUGAAUGAAAAAUAAAUUCCUUAUUUCCCAAUGCGUGCCUAAACUCUUCAGGGACGUUACAGCUGCAUUUUAAAGGUUUUAUAUUGGAAGGUAGGUCCAUCUCGAUCACACAGCGCCCCCUGGUGGUUAAAGCAGCGACCUACAGUGAGCUUCAGCACAUGAAGCUUUUCUGUUGUACACGUUCAGGAACGAUGACGACUUGGAAUUAUACCGACCAAACCCCAUUCAAAUUGUGACUCAUUUAAUUCCAUUCUUA
Long non-coding RNA from Cottoperca gobio, 1804 nucleotides. Lineage: Eukaryota; Metazoa; Chordata; Actinopteri; Perciformes; Bovichtidae. The record is from Ensembl.